UAGGGAAUCUUCCACAAUGGACGCAAGUCUGAUGGAGCAACGCCGCGUGAGUGAAGAAGGUUUUCGGACCGUAAAGCUCUGUUGUUGGUGAAGAAGGAUAGAGGUAGUAACUGGCCUUUAUUUGACGGUAAUCAACCAGAAAGUCACGGCUAACUACGUGCCAGCAGCCGCGGUAAUACGUAGGUGGCAAGCGUUGUCCGGAUUUAUUGGGCGUAAAGCGAGCGCAGGCGGAAGAAUAAGUCUGAUGUGAAAGCCCUCGGCUUAACCGAGGAAUUGCAUCGGAAACUGUUUUCUUGAGUGCAGAAGAGGAGAGUAGAACUCCAUGUGUAGCGGUGGAAUGCGUAGAUAUAUGGAAGAAUACCAGCGGCGAAGGCGGCUCUCUGGUCUGCAACUGACGCUGAGGCUCGAAAGCAUGGGUAGCGAACAGGAUUAGAUACCCUGGUAGUCCAUGCCGUAAACGAUGAGUGCUAAGUGUUGGGAGGCUUCCGCCUCUCAGUGCUGCAGCUAACGCAUUAAGCACUCCGCCUGGGGGAGUACGACCGCAAGGUUGAA
RNAcentral lists this ribosomal RNA (552 nucleotides) under uncultured bacterium. RNAcentral's name for it is "partial 16S ribosomal RNA". It matches the Rfam family "Bacterial small subunit ribosomal RNA", at positions 355 to 898 of the family's 1533-position model. The record is from RNAcentral.